Molecule: ribosomal RNA, 219 nt
Filed under: uncultured bacterium
Lineage: Bacteria
Description: partial 16S ribosomal RNA
Rfam family: Bacterial small subunit ribosomal RNA
Source: RNAcentral
UAUAUCGGAACGUGCCCAGUCGUGGGGGAUAACGUAGAGAAAUUUACGCUAAUACCGCAUACGAUCUAAGGAUGAAAGCGGGGGACUCGCAAGGGCCUCGCGCGAUUGGAGCGGCUGAUAUCAGAUUAGGUUGUUGGUGAGGUAAAAGCUCACCAAGCCGACGAUCUGUAGCUGGUUUGAGAGAACGACCAGCCACACUGGGACUGAGACACGGCCCAG